RNAcentral lists this ribosomal RNA (892 nucleotides) under Streptomyces sp. E4R12_pA. RNAcentral describes it as "bacterial SSU rRNA". It matches the Rfam family "Bacterial small subunit ribosomal RNA", at positions 8 to 916 of the family's 1533-position model. Lineage: Bacteria; Bacillati; Actinomycetota; Actinomycetes; Kitasatosporales; Streptomycetaceae. The record is from RNAcentral.
AGAGUUUGAUCCUGGCUCAGGAUGAACGCUGGCGGCGUGCUUAACACAUGCAAGUCGAACGAUGAAGCCCUUCGGGGUGGAUUAGUGGCGAACGGGUGAGUAACACGUGGGCAAUCUGCCCUGCACUCUGGGACAAGCCCUGGAAACGGGGUCUAAUACCGGAUGACACCCCCUCUCGCAUGGGAGGGGGUUGAAAGCUCCGGCGGUGCAGGAUGAGCCCGCGGCCUAUCAGCUUGUUGGUGAGGUAGAAGCUCACCAAGGCGACGACGGGUAGCCGGCCUGAGAGGGCGACCGGCCACACUGGGACUGAGACACGGCCCAGACUCCUACGGGAGGCAGCAGUGGGGAAUAUUGCACAAUGGGCGAAAGCCUGAUGCAGCGACGCCGCGUGAGGGAUGACGGCCUUCGGGUUGUAAACCUCUUUCAGCAGGGAAGAAGCGAAAGUGACGGUACCUGCAGAAGAAGCGCCGGCUAACUACGUGCCAGCAGCCGCGGUAAUACGUAGGGCGCAAGCGUUGUCCGGAAUUAUUGGGCGUAAAGAGCUCGUAGGCGGCUUGUCACGUCGGUUGUGAAAGCCCGGGGCUUAACCCCGGGUCUGCAGUCGAUACGGGCAGGCUAGAGUGUGGUAGGGGAGAUCGGAAUUCCUGGUGUAGCGGUGAAAUGCGCAGAUAUCAGGAGGAACACCGGUGGCGAAGGCGGAUCUCUGGGCCAUUACUGACGCUGAGGAGCGAAAGCGUGGGGAGCGAACAGGAUUAGAUACCCUGGUAGUCCACGCCGUAAACGGUGGGAACUAGGUGUUGGCGACAUUCCACGUCGUCGGUGCCGCAGCUAACGCAUUAAGUUCCCCGCCUGGGGAGUACGGCCGCAAGGUAAAACUCAAAGGAAUUGACGG